UUAUAGUGCUCAAGGAGUAAUUAGUGACAUCUUAUUAAUUACAUCCUAAGCUCAUCUUGAAGAAAGAGACAGACACACAAAGGAAAGAGAAAAUGAAACUCAUGGCCCAUCAAAAGCGAUUAGAAUAACCCUACCUAAGAUAUCUCUCUUGUACUUGUAUCUAUUUUUUUUUAAAGUGGAUCAAAGGACUAGCUAAUAAGAUGUCACUAGUUACUUCUUCAACACCAUAAA
This 231-nucleotide microRNA precursor is filed under the name Populus trichocarpa (black cottonwood). Its description in RNAcentral is "miR7840 stem-loop (ptc-MIR7840)". Lineage: Eukaryota; Viridiplantae; Streptophyta; Magnoliopsida; Malpighiales; Salicaceae. The record is from miRBase by way of RNAcentral.